GAGGGAAGAAGCAGGAGAGAAGUUAGGAAGCUGUUUUGUAGUUAGUUGGGCAAUCUGCAAACCUCAGGGUGAUGCUACUUCAUGGUCAGUUAAUGAUUUCAAAGUUUUAUCUUUGAGUGUUCAGAAUAUACAGAUCUUGUUUAUUUUAUUCCCAUUGGGUUUUUCUACCAGCAGGUAAAAGGAAAAUCAGCUGGAACUUCAAUCAACCAAUGUUACCAUAAACAAAAGAAGAACUUACAUAUUUGGGGUUAAUAUGUGAAGAACUCAUAGGUUUUAUGACCAACAAUAUAUUGCAAUCCAAGGGAAAAAAUGGAAGCAUUAUGAGCCAUUUUCAAAGGCUGUCUCACAAAAUGCACGCUGUAAUUACUGGACUGAAGAGAAUGAUUCCUUUCUGAUAUGACAAGGUUCCUGAUUCCAGGAGAUGAUUCCAAAAGUGAAUUUUCCACACUGAAUGGCUUUGUCCCUUCUUUUGGAGGGAAGAACAAGCACUUCCAAACUUGCAGCUUUUGGUUUUAUCUUUCCUUCCACACCCCACAUGCUCCAGCUAAGGUAAGUCUGCCACCACCCCAUUUUCACUAUGGGAUCUGUCCUGAGAGACUGCAGUGGACCAGGACCUUAGAAGGGACUGAGGUGAUACCGACUGAUAUUGCUACUUUGGCUCAGAUCUGGGGUCUGUGCCAACUCCCUGCAUGGUGCCCACAACCUUUUACCCCACAGCUCCCUCCAAAAAUCCCAGAUUGAUAUAAUGCAUUGCACCUUCAGGGCACUCCCAGCAGCUCAAGACCAAGAGGCCUAAGAUCUGAGGCCUUGCAAAGGGCGUAUGGCCAAAUGUCUUUCAUAGAUUUGAAAAUAAGUGACCUUUUGCCCCCUCCUGGCCUGGCCCUCCAUCUAUCUGUACUCAUAUUUUUGCCUGUGGAAUUAGUGGCUUCAGAAGAAGUAACCCGGUGCCAAAGAGUGGCAAUUCUGAGGGAGAGGGAAUCUGAUGAGGUUAUGGAAGAUUUAGCCUAAUAACAGGCCCAGGCCUACAGCCCAGAGGACUUUCUUUCUCUGACAUUCAGCAUGUUUUGUCCUACAAUAAGAAUAUUAAUAACUAACGGCUUAUAGUGCUUGCCCUGUGCCAGGCGAUCUUCUAAAUUCUUCACAUACAUUAACUCAGUCCUGUUAACCCCGACACUACUGAGAGAUUUAUGAGGGAGCAAAACCCCAAUUCUGUAAUCUCACCCAUGUGUCACUUCGCAAGCAAUCCAACUGUUUCUAAUUCUGUGUCGAAGUAUAAGACUACUGUAACAAUCUCUACUGGUUGUUCUCCUUGGCCUUUCUGUAGGACAACUCCCAUCCAAACUGGCCCCAGAGUUAGCCUGGUCUUGACUCUCUAUUGAAUGUUGACUCAGCUGCAGCCCUGGAUGCCCCCCUGCCACUGCCUUCCCCACUUAGAGGGCACCCUAUACACCUUUAGUGUUCACAUCAUGCCCACACUCAGCUAUGUUUGGCCAUUAGAGUAGAAUGUCCAUUACCUCUGAUCUAUAUGAUGAUGCAUUUCUGAUAAAGCAGAACACUAUAAAAAAUUUCCGACAAUUCCACACAGUAACUUUUCAAAAUGUAACUUCAGCAUAUUGGCCCUGUACUUCAUUGCUAGAAAAAAUAAAUACAUUAAAAACAUCUAUUUCCUUUAUUAUCCUUGACAGAUAUUUCAAAAGUCCUCUUCUAUUGCCUUAGAACUCCUCUUUGGAGCCCUUCUUCAUUCAAUUCAAAUAAAGUCAUGACAGUAUACCCCAGGAGGUCAUCUGUCUCACGUAACUAGCAACCUGGAUGUAAUUUUAAGCUCAGCUGGGAAUCUCCAUGUACAGAAAUAUUUAUUAGUUGGCUGACUGGAAAUAGUGAUGUGUUACAUAGAUGAAGUGUCCAUUUCUUUCCUCUGAGUGGACAGCCUAUAGCUUACUUAAACAUAGCACUUCUGUUCUGUCUCCUUUGUCCUUUCUAACAUAAGCUGCUUCUCUGUUAUGCAUACAGUUUUAGUUUUCCACACACAGAGAUACAUUCCCUCUUCA
Molecule: long non-coding RNA, 2048 nt
Organism: Felis catus (domestic cat)
Lineage: Eukaryota; Metazoa; Chordata; Mammalia; Carnivora; Felidae
Exons: 4
Source: RefSeq, a predicted model, not a curated record